ACUUAUUCAUCGUGUACACCACGACCACCCUGUCUGGUUUCUUCCUCGCCGGGAUGUCCAUCGACCGGUUAACAGCAGUGAGAUUCCCCAUGCACGCACCAACACUGUGCACAGUUAAGAGGGCGAAGUGGUUCAUCAUUAUCUCAACUUUGAUGAUAACUGGGCUGAACACACAUGUCUUUUUUGUUAUAGACACUUUUAGGGACAACGAGCUAGGAAUUAAUGCAGCCGUCAACAAGGUACCAAACCACCCCGAGUUCGAGUUACUAGCUACAGCGUUCCAAGUUCUCGUUGGAACUGCCCUGCCUUUUAUCACCAUAUUCGCAUGCAACUUAAUCAUAAUCAAUACGCUUAGGCAGGCAUCUUCAGAAAGGAAGAAGAUGGGUUCUGAGGAGAACAAACGACUUGAAAAGAACACUCAGUAUCUGACAAGAAUGCUGAUUUUUGUCAGUUUUGCUUACGUUCUUCUCACUCUGCCGUACAGACUGUACCACUUGCUGUUGAAGAUACCAGAACUUAGCUACGACCUGACGAAUGUUUACACAAGGCAGCGAUAUGUGGCACAGGCUUGGGCAUUGGCUGCUGUUUGGGAACUGAACAACGCCGUCAACUUUUUUCUAUACUGUAUCGGGGGAGGUCGCAAGUAUAGAAGGGAAACUUUGGAGAUUUUGAGAAGACUGUGCUACACUAUAGGAUGAAUAUACUUGUUUUUCUUAAAUGAUGCCUCACCGCUUAAACUCGGGUAAUUAUAAAUCAGCAAUUCUCUAUGGCAGCAGUGGCCACCUAUUCAGAAAAGGAAAAGCGAUACUUCGGCGAUUAGGUCGACCUGUCGAUGAGAAAGUGAACAGUGUCGGGCUUGAAAACCUGUUCCUUUUCAGUAACGCCCUAUCCUUGCAUCUUGAGCCUCAAUGUAUUGACAUUGCUAAGCUUUACAGGCAACGCGCGUCCAAUAUUGGCGGCGGUAACGCAGGCAAUACCGCUGAAAUUUCAGUAUGUUUCCUUGAUAUUUCUAUAUCUUGCAUCAAACCAAUGCAAGAAACUAUAGGUCGACGUAAUGCGUACAGACGUACUUGCACGAGUGUUAUCUGCCGAAGCCGAAAUCAAUGCGUGGGUUUUUUAAUGAGACAAAAACCGUACCAAAUUGCUAAGCAUUUUAUGAUAAGGAUGAGGGUGACAGGGCGCCAAAUUCCAAAUCGAUGGCCAACUACGGUUUCAGUUGUUGAACCUAGUUUAAACCAUGCAAUACAAAUAUGUAGAGAAAUGGCAUGAGCAGUCCAAUUAUAGUAUAACAAUAUAAGUAGGGUGACAUAUCAUAUUCUGUGCGGCUGACUUUCAUCUAUCACAUGUAUGAUUAGACCGAGAGGAUUUUAGUUCUAUUCCUCUACCAUGCUCGAGGGCACGGUUGGACCGGAGGAACCAGCUAACUAUACGGGCGAAUGGAGAAGCGAAUUCAAGCCGUCGUUGGACUUGUUCUCGCUGUUCGCCGCGGCCGCAAUACCCCUGAUCUUUGGCGUCCCGGGGAACAUCCUGGCGUUCCUUGUAGCAUGCCAGAAACAGAACCGAAAGCUUUCUCCAAGCAUCUACAUGGCAGCGAUGGCGGUGGUUGAUAAUUUGUUUCUUCUCGAUGUUGGAAUUGCCGUACUGUGGAACAAGUGGCUGAGCGACUCGAGGUAUCUUAAAUAUGUCAUAAGGGGUCAUCUGUUCAUCAUCUACACCACGAGCACCCUGUCUGGUUUCUUCCUCGCCGGGAUGUCCAUCGACCGGUUAACAGCAGUGAGAUUCUCAAUGCAAGCACCAACACUGUGUACAGUCGAGAGGGCGAAAUGGUUCAUCAUUAUCUCAACUUUGAUUACAGCAGGACUCAAUAUCCACGUGUUCUUUGCUAUACAGCAUUUCAGAGACUUGGAGCUAGGAAUCAAUGCAGCUGUGUUCAGAGUAGACAACCAUCCCGAGUAUGAGCUUCUCGCUACCUCAUUCCAAGUUCUUGUCGGCACUGUUCUGCCUUUCAUUGUCAUCUUUGGAUGCAAUAUCCUAAUCAUAAGCUCGCUAAGACAGGCAUCUUUAGACCGGAACAAAAUGGGCUCAGAGAAGAACCAACAACUAGAAAAGAACACGCACUAUUUAACGCGAAUGCUCAUUUUUGUCAGUUUUGCCUUCGUUAUUUUUACUCUCCCGUACAGGCUCUGCCAUCUAAUUCAGAUGAUUCCGCAACUUGGCUAUGACCUGAGCAAGGUUUAUGAAAGGGAACGGUAUGUGACGAUGGUCUGGUCACUUGCAAUUGCUUGGGAACUCAACUACGCCGUCAACUUUUUCCUUUACUGUAUCGGUGGAGGUCAGAGGUAUAGAAACGACACUUUGGAAAUUUUGCAAAAACUGCGCUGUACAUGAUGAAAUAUUGACGUUCCUUUAGGUUACCAAAGCGGGGUUGUGGACUUAUUCAGAACAAGUCAGUCUCGUGCCAAUCACAUCCCUGUCCUGCCACAGAUACGCAUCAUACUGUAUCGGGGGAGGUCGCAAGUAUAGAAGGGAAACUUUGGAGAUUUUGAGAAGACUGUGCUACACUAUAGGAUGAAUAUACUUGUUUUUCUUAAAUGAUGCCUCACCGCUUAAAUUCGGGUAAUUGUAACUCAGUAAUUCUCUAUGGCAGCAGUGGCUACCUAUUCAGAAAAGGAAAAGCGAUACUUCGGAGAUUAGGUCGACCUGUCGAUGAGAGAGUGAACAGUGUCGGGCUUGAAAACCUGUUCCUUUUGAGUAACGCCCUAUCCUUGCAUCUUGAGCCUCAAUGUAUUGACAUUGCUAAGCUUUACAGGCAACGCGCGUCCAAUAUUGGCGGCGGUAACGCAGGCAAUACCGCUGAAAAUUCAGUAUGUUUCCUUGAUAUUUCUAUAUCUUGCAUCAAACCAAUGCAAGAAACUAUAGGUCGACGUAAUGCGUACAGACGUACCGGCACGAGUAUUAAUGAGACAAAAACCAUACCAAAUCGAUGGCCAACUACGGUUUCAGUUGAUGAACCUAGUUUAAACCUUGCGAUAAAAAUAUCGAGAGAAUUUAUGGCAUGAGCAGUCCAAUUAUAGCAGUCCAAGUAUAGUAUAACAAUAUAAAUAAGGCGACAUAUCAUAUUCUUUCCGGCUGACUUUCAUCUAUCACAUGUAUGAUUAGACCGAGAGGAUUUUAGUUCUAUUCCUCUACCAUGCUCGAGGGCACGGUUGGACCGGAGGAACCAGCUAACUAUACGGGCGAAUGGAGAAGCAAAUUCAAGCCGUCGUUGGACUUGUUCUCGCUGUCCGCCGCAUCCGCAAUACCCCUGAUCUUUGGCGUCCCGGGGAACAUCCUGGCGUUCCUUGUAGCAUGCCAGAAACAGAACCGAAAGCUUUCUCCAAGCAUCUACAUGGCAGCGAUGGCGGUGGUUGAUAAUUUGUUUCUUCUCGAUGUUGGAAUUGCCGUACUGUGGAACAAGUGGCUGAGCGACUCGAGGUAUCUUAAAUAUGUCAUAAGGGGUCAUCUGUUCAUCAUCUACACCACGACUACCCUGUCUGGUUUCUUCCUCGCCGGGAUGUCCAUCGACCGUUUAACAGCAGUGAGAUUCUCAAUGCAAGCACGAACACUGUGCACAGUCGAGAGGGCGAAAUGGUUCAUCAUUAUCUCAACUUUGAUUACAGCAGGACUCAAUAUCCACGUGUUCUUUGCUAUACAGCAUUUCAGAGACUUGGAGCUAGGAAUCAAUGCAGCUGUGUUCAGAGUAGACAACCAUCCUGAGUAUGAGCUUCUCGCUACCUCAUUCCAAGUUCUUGUCGGCACUGUUCUGCCUUUCAUUGUCAUCUUUGGAUGCAACAUCCUUAUCAUAAGCUCGCUAAGACAAGCAUCUUUAGACUGGAACAAAAUGGGCUCAGCGAAGAACCAACAACUAGAAAAGAACACGCACUAUUUAACGCGAAUGCUCAUUUUUGUCAGUUUUGCCUUCGUUAUUUUUACUCUCCCGUACAGGCUCUGCCAUCUAAUUCAGAUGAUUCCGCAACUUGGCUAUGACCUGAGCAAGGUUUAUGAAAGGGAACGGUAUGUGACGAUGGUCUGGUCACUUGCAAUUGCUUGGGAACUCAAUUACGCCGUCAACUUUUUCCUUUACUGUAUCGGUGGAGGUCAGAGGUAUAGAAACGACACUUUGGAAAUUUUGCAAAAACUGCGCUGUACAUGAUGAAAUAUUGACGUUCCUUUAGGUUACCAAAGCGGGGUUGUGGACUUAUUCAGAACAAGUCAGUCUCGUGCCAAUCACAUCCCUGUCCUGCCACAGCUACGCAUCAUACUGUAUCGGGGGAGGUCGCAAGUAUAGAAGGGAAACUUUGGAGAUUUUGAGAAGACUGUGCUACACUAUGGGAUGAAUAUACUUGUUUUUCUUAAAUGAUGCCUCACCGCUUUAACUCGGGUAAUUGAAACUCAACAAUUCUCUAUGGCAGCAGUGGCUACCUAUUCAGAAAAGGAAAAGCGAUACUUCGGAGAUUAGGUCGACCUGUCGAUGAGAAAGUGAACAGUGUCGGGCUUGAAAACCUGUUCCUUUUCAGUAACGCCCUAUCCUUGCAUCCUGAGCCUCAAUGUAUUGACAUUGCUAAGCUUUACAGGCAACGCGCGUCCAAUAUUGGCGGCGGUAACGCAGGCAAUACCGCUGAAAAUUCAGUAUGUUUCCUUGAUAUUUCUAUAUCUCGCAUCAAACCAAUGCAAGAAACUAUAGGUCGACGUAAUGCGUACAAACGUACCGGCACGAGUAUUAAUGAGACAAAAACCAUACCAAAUCG
Molecule: RNA transcript, 4787 nt
Organism: Lineus longissimus
Lineage: Eukaryota; Metazoa; Nemertea; Pilidiophora; Heteronemertea; Lineidae
Gene name: C-C chemokine receptor type 5-like
Exons: 6
Source: RefSeq, a predicted model, not a curated record